Molecule: transfer RNA, 74 nt
Organism: Peptococcaceae bacterium CEB3
Lineage: Bacteria; Bacillati; Bacillota; Clostridia; Eubacteriales; Peptococcaceae
Rfam family: tRNA
About the family: Transfer RNA (tRNA) molecules are approximately 80 nucleotides in length.
Source: Rfam
GCGCUCGUGGCUCAGCUGGAUAGAGCGUCUGACUACGAAUCAGAAGGUCGGGGGUUCGAAUCCCUCCGAGCGCA